RNAcentral lists this ribosomal RNA (491 nucleotides) under uncultured bacterium. Its description in RNAcentral is "bacterial SSU rRNA". It matches the Rfam family "Bacterial small subunit ribosomal RNA", at positions 899 to 1397 of the family's 1533-position model. The record is from RNAcentral.
ACUCAAAGGAAUAGACGGGGGCCCGCACAAGCGGUGGAGUAUGUUGUUUAAUUCGAAGCAACGCGAAGAACCUUACCAAGCCUUGACAUACCGGACAAGACUAUAGAGAUAUAGUUGAGGAUGAAGGAUACAGGUGGUGCAUGGUUGUCGUCAGCUCGUGUCGUGAGAUGUUGGGUUAAGUCCCGCAACGAGCGCAACCCUUUUCUUCUGUUACCAUCAUUAAGUUGGGGACUCAGGAGAGACUGCCGGUGAUAAACCGGAGGAAGGUGGGGAUGAGGUCAAAUCAUCAUGCCCCUUAUGGCUUGGGCUACAAACGUACUACAAUGGCGUAUACAAAGAGCUGCCAGCAGGUGACUGUGAGCGAAUCUCGUAAAGUACGUCUCAGUUCGGAUUGAAGUCUGCAACUCGACUUCAUGAAGUUGGAAUCGCUAGUAAUCGCGAAUCAGCAUGUCGCGGUGAAUACGUUCUCGGGCCUUGUACACACCGCCCGU